GAUGAAGAACGUAGCGAAAUGCGAUAAGUAAUGUGAAUUGCAGAAUUCAGUGAAUCAUCGAAUCUUUGAACGCACCUUGCGCUCCUUGGCAUUCCGAGGAGCAUGCCUGUUUGAGUGUCAUUAAAUUCUCAAGACCUGUCUGCUUUUUUGAUAGGUAUUGGAUGUUGGGGGUUGCAGGCUGUUUCAAAUAAAUAGCCUUGCUCUCCUUGAAUGUAUUAGUGGAGAAAAGCCAUUGAACUCCAUUGGUGUGAUAAAACCUAUCAAUGCCAGGAGCAAUAUCACUACUUCUCUCUGCUGUCUAACUGUGACUGUCUGUAUUAAUUAGUAUGGAUGGGGACAACUUGACCAACUUGACCUCAAAUCAGGUAGGACUACCCGCUGAACUUAAGCAUAUCAAUAAGCGGAGGA
Molecule: unclassified non-coding RNA, 408 nt
Filed under: soil metagenome
Description: partial contains 5.8S ribosomal RNA, internal transcribed spacer 2, and large subunit ribosomal RNA
Rfam family: 5.8S ribosomal RNA (bases 1-120)
Source: RNAcentral